UUGAACGCUGGCGGCAUGCCUUACACAUCCAAGUCGAACGGUAACAGGUCUUCGGAUGCUGACGAGUGGCGAACGGGUGAGUAAUACAUCGGAACGUGCCCGAUCGUGGGGGAUAACGAAGCGAAAGCUUUGCUAAUACCGCAUACGAUCUACGGAUGAAAGCAGGGGACCGCAAGGCCUUGCGCGAACGGAGCGGCCGAUGGCAGAUUAGGUAGUUGGUGGGAUAAAAGCUUACCAAGCCGACGAUCUGUAGCUGGUCUGAGAGGACGACCAGCCACACUGGGACUGAGACACGGCCCAGACUCCUACGGGAGGCAGCAGUGGGGAAUUUUGGACAAUGGGCGAAAGCCUGAUCCAGUCAUGCCGCGUGCAGGAUGAAGGCCUUCGGGUUGUAAACUGCUUUUGUACGGAACGAAAAGACUCUGGUUAAUACCUGGGGUCCAUGACGGUACCGUAAGAAUAAACACCGGCUAACUACGU
This 480-nucleotide ribosomal RNA is filed under the name uncultured bacterium. Its description in RNAcentral is "partial 16S ribosomal RNA". It matches the Rfam family "Bacterial small subunit ribosomal RNA", at positions 30 to 506 of the family's 1533-position model. The record is from RNAcentral.